This 427-nucleotide ribosomal RNA is filed under the name uncultured bacterium. Its description in RNAcentral is "partial 16S ribosomal RNA". It matches the Rfam family "Bacterial small subunit ribosomal RNA", at positions 355 to 774 of the family's 1533-position model. The record is from RNAcentral.
UAGGGAAUCUUCGGCAAUGGACGAAAGUCUGACCGAGCAACGCCGCGUGAGUGAAGAAGGUUUUCGGAUCGUAAAACUCUGUUGGUAGAGAAGAACGUUGGUGAGAGUGGAAAGCUCAUCAAGUGACGGUAACUACCCAGAAAGGGACGGCUAACUACGUGCCAGCAGCCGCGGUAAUACGUAGGUCCCGAGCGUUGUCCGGAUUUAUUGGGCGUAAAGCGAGCGCAGGUGGUUUAUUAAGUCUGGUGUAAAAGGCAGUGGCUCAACCAUUGUAUGCAUUGGAAACUUGUAGACUUGAGUGCAGGAGAGGAGAGUGGAAUUCCAUGUGUAGCGGUGAAAUGCGUAGAUAUAUGGAGGAACACCGGUGGCGAAAGCGGCUCUCUGGCCUGUAACUGACACUGAGUCUCGAAAGCGUGGGGAGCAAACA